RNAcentral lists this microRNA precursor (94 nucleotides) under Branchiostoma floridae (Florida lancelet). RNAcentral's name for it is "mir-2060 microRNA precursor family". It matches the Rfam family "mir-2060 microRNA precursor family". The record is from Rfam by way of RNAcentral. Lineage: Eukaryota; Metazoa; Chordata; Leptocardii; Amphioxiformes; Branchiostomatidae.
GUUUUCCCGUCUGUGGAUGUUGUUCAGCACCAAGGACAGGCAUGUUUUCCCGUGUGUGGAUGGUGUUCAGCACCAGGGACAGAUGUGUUUGCCU